This 284-nucleotide unclassified non-coding RNA is filed under the name uncultured Agaricales. RNAcentral's name for it is "sequence contains 5.8S rRNA gene, ITS2, 28S rRNA gene". The stretch from base 1 to 52 matches the Rfam family "5.8S ribosomal RNA", at positions 103 to 154 of the family's 154-position model. Lineage: Eukaryota; Fungi; Basidiomycota; Agaricomycetes; Agaricales. The record is from RNAcentral.
AACGCAUCUUGCACCCUUUGGUAUUCCGAAGGGUAUGCCUGUUUGAGUGUCAUUUAAUUUCUCAACCAUUAGACUUUGUUGUCUCUUGGCUUGGAUGUGGGGGUUUGCGGGCUUCACUUUGAGGUCGGCUCCUCUUAAAUGCAUUAGUGGAAAGUCUAUUCACUAAUUGGCGUGAUAGCUCUAUCGUCGUCAUGAAUAGGUGUCUGCUUCUAACUGUCUUUUGAUCGGGACAAUCUUCCUUUUCAUUUGACCUCAAAUCAGGUAGGACUACCCGCUGAACUUAA